CGAGUCCUGAUGUGUUCGACGUUCAAUCUAUCUGUUUUGACCGAACAUUUCUAACUAGGGAGUUCACGUUUUGAAGUGGCGUACAUGCCUUCACUGAAAGGACGUACUAACGCUUCGAAUAGGACACCCACCUGCUUGAGUGCGGGUUCAAAACGUUAGUCUCUCAAGCGACGGCACGAUUGGGACUCGG
This 190-nucleotide non-coding RNA is filed under the name Bacillus coahuilensis. RNAcentral describes it as "6S RNA". It matches the Rfam family "6S / SsrS RNA". From Rfam's summary of the family: E. coli 6S RNA was the first non coding RNA to be sequenced, but its function was unknown until recently. It consists of 184 nucleotides that fold into an extended hairpin structure with a large single-stranded internal bulge. Lineage: Bacteria; Bacillati; Bacillota; Bacilli; Caryophanales; Bacillaceae. The record is from RNAcentral. RNAcentral also lists the same sequence under 1 other name.